RNAcentral lists this ribosomal RNA (584 nucleotides) under uncultured bacterium. RNAcentral's name for it is "partial 16S ribosomal RNA". It matches the Rfam family "Bacterial small subunit ribosomal RNA", at positions 355 to 1375 of the family's 1533-position model. The record is from RNAcentral.
UGGGGAAUUUUGGACAAUGGGCGAAAGCCUGAUCCAGCAAUGCCGCGUGUGUGAAGAAGGCCUUCGGGUUGUAAAGCACUUUUGUCCGGAAAGAAAUCCUUGGCUCUAAUACAGUCGGGGGAUGACGGUACCGGAAGAAUAAGCACCGGCUAACUACGUGCCAGCAGCCGCGGUAAUACGUAGGGUGCAAGCGUUAAUCGGAAUUACUGGGCGUAAAGCGUGCGCAGGCGGUUUGCUAAGACCGAUGUGAAAUCCCCGGGCUCAACCUGGGAACUGCAUUGGUGACUGGCAGGCUAGAGUAUGGCAGAGGGGGUAGAAUUCCACGUGUAGCAGUGAAAUGCGUAGAGAUGUGGAGGAAUACCGAUGGCGAAGGCAGCCCCCUGGGCCAAUACUGACGCUCAUGCACGAAAGCGUGGGGAGCAAACAGGAUUAGAUACCCUGGUAGUCCACGCCCUAAACGAUGUCAACUAGUUGUCGGGUCUUCAUUGACUUGGUAACGUAGCUAACGCGUGAAGUUGACCGCCUGGGGAGUACGGUCGCAAGAUUAAAACUUAAAGGAAUUGACGGGGUCAUAGCUGUUUCCU